AGUGAACGCUGGCGGUAGGCCUAACACAUGCAAGUCGAACGGCAGCACAGGAGAGCUUGCUCUCUGGGUGGCGAGUGGCGGACGGGUGAGGAAUACAUCGGAAUCUACUCUGUCGUGGGGGAUAACGUAGGGAAACUUACGCUAAUACCGCAUACGACCUACGGGUGAAAGCAGGGGACCUUCGGGCCUUGCGCGAUUGAAUGAGCCGAUGUCGGAUUAGCUAGUUGGCGGGGUAAAGGACCACAACGGCGACGAUCCGUAGCUGGUCUGAGGGGAUGAUCAGCAACACUGGAACUGAGACACGGCCCAGACUCCGACGGGAGGCAGCAGUGGGGAAUAUUGGACAAUGGGCGCAAGCCUGAUCCAGCCAUACCGCGUGGGUGAAGAAGGCCUUCGGGUUGUAAAGCCCUUUUGUUGGGAAAGAAAUCCAGCUGGCUAAUACCCGGUUGGGAUGACGGUACCCAAAGAAUAAGCACCGGCUAACUUCGUGCCAGCAGCCGCCGUAA
This 506-nucleotide ribosomal RNA is filed under the name uncultured bacterium. Its description in RNAcentral is "partial 16S ribosomal RNA". It matches the Rfam family "Bacterial small subunit ribosomal RNA", at positions 29 to 523 of the family's 1533-position model. The record is from RNAcentral.